UACGGAGGAUGCAAGCGUUAUCCGGAUUUAUUGGGUUUAAAGGGUGCGCAGGCGGAUAGUUAAGUCAGCGGUGAAAUGUCCCGGCUCAACCGGGGAACUGCCGUUGAUACUGGCUAUCUGGAGUACGGACGGCGCCGGCGGAAUGUGUCAUGUAGCGGUGAAAUGCUUAGAUAUGCCACAGAACACCGAUCGCGAAGGCAGCUGGCGAGGCCGGAACUGACGCUCAGGCACGAAAGCGUGGGGAU
This 245-nucleotide ribosomal RNA is filed under the name uncultured Bacteroidota bacterium. RNAcentral describes it as "uncultured Bacteroidetes bacterium partial 16S ribosomal RNA". It matches the Rfam family "Bacterial small subunit ribosomal RNA", at positions 524 to 768 of the family's 1533-position model. The record is from RNAcentral. Lineage: Bacteria; Pseudomonadati; Bacteroidota.